UUUGCCUGGCGGCACUAGCGCGGUGGUCCCACCUGACCCCAUGCCGAACUCAGAAGUGAAACGCCGUAGCGCCGAUGGUAGUGUGGGGUCUCCCCAUGCGAGAGUAGGGAACUGCCAG
This 118-nucleotide ribosomal RNA is filed under the name Salmonella enterica subsp. enterica serovar Baildon str. R6-199. Lineage: Bacteria; Pseudomonadati; Pseudomonadota; Gammaproteobacteria; Enterobacterales; Enterobacteriaceae. The record is from RNAcentral.